AUUAUUUUGACAGAAAUUAUGUAUUAAAUUUAGAAUUUAAAAAUGUGUAAGUAAAUUAUGCAAGUAAUU
RNAcentral lists this transfer RNA (69 nucleotides) under Fornicia albalata. RNAcentral describes it as "tRNA-Leu". Lineage: Eukaryota; Metazoa; Arthropoda; Insecta; Hymenoptera; Braconidae. The record is from RNAcentral.